UAGUGUAGUAGACUAGUCCACAUUUAUACUUCAUUAUUAAUUCAUCACUUUGAAGCACUUCUUACUUGUGAUGUAUUUUUAGAACUGUUCCCAGCCAACUAGCUUCCUACCUUCCCAGAGGGCCCCGAUUACCUCCUGGGGCCGCAAUCCACCGACCCCCUCCAGCCCUGAGACCAGUGAGACCUCUGGACCCACCAGCUCCACCUCUACAUCAUUGGUCAUCAAGAACGAGAGCUUCAGGAAGGAAAGCUUUGUGAGUUUCUCUUUAAAACCAGCAUCAGGAAACCAAGUGGUCCAGCUGACUGG
Molecule: long non-coding RNA, 306 nt
Filed under: Cottoperca gobio
Lineage: Eukaryota; Metazoa; Chordata; Actinopteri; Perciformes; Bovichtidae
Description: lncRNA (ENSCGOG00000010588.1)
Source: RNAcentral